Mycena galopus ATCC 62051 is the source of this 93-nucleotide non-coding RNA. The record is from the annotation of a GenBank genome assembly. Lineage: Eukaryota; Fungi; Basidiomycota; Agaricomycetes; Agaricales; Mycenaceae.
UCGGGUGUGGCGCACGGAGCGCGGCGAUUUCUCGUAUACCGACCCGAUAGAGAAUGCAAGUUGCAGGUCCGGGUUCGAAUCCCGGCGCCCGAC